AGAGUUCUGGUGGGAGAGUUAAGUGGAUUGUUGCAAGAUUCAGAGGCCGUGCCACCAAAAUAAAAACUCUGGAUUAAAAACUCUCCAUUAGGACCCGCUCCUUUCUUCACCUCGCCUUAAGGGUUUCUCUGGCUCAGGAAGGCCUGAAGAGUGACCCCCUCAGCAGCAAGCUCCUCCUGCAAGCACUGGAGUUCGGGUCAUGCCCGGACUUGUCUCCACGUGCCCAGCUGCGACCACAGGAGUCAUCCCAGGAUGUAUCCCAGGAGGAAUCCUGAGGAAGGCUGGAAGCUUGUGAUGCAUUAGUGGAUUUGUCUCAUGUCCCAUUUUCAAAGUGCGUCAGCUAAAGACAUUGCAAUUUAUUUCCCAUGCUGAAGUACACUGGACCUGUUUACUUGUCUCCAUCAGCUAUAAGGAGGACAUAUGAGGCAUAAAUCUACACUGCAGUAGACAAGGUUACAUUAAUCUCUUGUUCCAGUGACCCUGUUUAUACCUGAUGUGGGCUGUAAUUUUAAAACCAGCAUCCCUUUUCAAGUUCCCUGGAUUUCAAACCCUGAAAAUUAGAGGCUAUUUGAAAGAGGCACCUAGAUGAGCAGCAGAAAGGAAAAAUGUUUGCUUUGCAUUUUUAAUACGGGAGUCUCAAGACUGGGUCAGGAGAAAUCCUCUGGACAAAGGGGAGAUGCUGCUUUCCCUGACAGCAGCUGACCUUGCUUAGCUGGGAGAAGCUUCUGGAGAGUAUGGUACAUUCUGGAGGAUGUGAUAAAGACACUGAAAUAUUCAAUCUGACUGAAACUGGUGGAUUUUGCAAGAAUCUAUCAGCUUUGAAAAUCAAGAUGCAACUAACAGAUGUGACAAUCUGCACCUUGAGUGGACUAAUGUAAACUCACAAAAAGAAGGAUGAAUCAGAUGGACUCACCACAGGCAUGUCACUUCAACUAUAUGUGUAUAUAGAACAGUACAACAACAGCCAAGAGAAGAGAAAAAUCUUAGAAGAAAUGAAUAGCUGACAUACUGAGACUAGUCUACCUGGUGUUUGAUUAUAACAUCUCAAAAGCAGAAGGACACAGCUAUUGAAUUUCUGCAUGCGUUUUUAUUUUUAAUAAACAAGAAAAUGAAGGGUUGUAGUAUACAAACACUGCAACACUGCCAUGCUGAACUUAUCUGAUGUUUGAUUAAUGUAUUGGAUUGAUGUAUAAUAACUGAACAAGAAAUCUACAUGUUGUUUUGAAGGGUUUAUUUGAUUUGGACAUAGACGUCUUUUAGUCAUUUAGUAUGAGAAAGAGUGCUCUUGGAAGAUAACUCUGUAUUUCACAGUUAUCAGUUUAAACUACUCUUUAUUACAAAAGGGAAGAGCAAUUGAAACACUGACUAUUAGUAAAACUGGUUUGAAAAUGAAAUUUGAUUGAUAUUUUAGAUUUCUUGGGACUAUAUAUGGCACAGCUUUGUAUAAAUUAUAUUUGUUUAAAAUGCAACUGAGCUCAGAACUGCCAGGAACAAUUUAGACACCAUAAAUGUUUCCUCUAAAUUGAAUCAGAGAAGGCUGAAAAGCCUCUAAACACUGUACAGGGAUUCAAUGUUUAGGUUUUAAAUGAAACAAUUUUGAAAAUUGGAGCCUUGCCAUCAUUUAUAGCGCUGUCAGCAUCCAUGCUCUGACAAAAUAGGUUGAUUUUCUUCUUCUUUUCGUUGCUCAUCUUUGUUGGACACUUUCACUGUUAAAUGCAGUAAAUGAGGGGGGUGGGAGGAGAAGAGAGAACAAAAGGGUAAAUGAAACAUUAUUAUGGAAAACUAUUUUCAGAAAUUGCAUUUUAUAUUCAAUAUGGAUAGUUUUUGCCUACACCCAACACUGAAGACCAUUUUUAUGAAACACAAUAAAGGCAUCUCAGAUAUGUUCUUGUUUCACUAUAUCCAAAUAGAUUAAUUUUUUGGUUUCAAUGAAGAUUUAUGCUACCUAUAUUGCACAAGGUAAGUGUAAAUAAGAGCUAUAAAUUGCUAAGCAGUUAGUGUUGCUUGUGAAUGGAACCAUUGUUCUCUAAACAGCCUGAAUUUUAGAGAAUCCAGCUAACUUAACGCCUAUGAGGUGCCAUACAGGAAAAAUGCUAUAAAAAUCUAAUAACAGUAAAUAUGCAUUGGUAUUAACUUAUAUUAGUUUGAGUGAAAGUGCAUAUAUUUAGAACUUAUUAGUA
Long non-coding RNA from Passer domesticus (house sparrow), 2180 nucleotides. RefSeq lists it as uncharacterized. The transcript is spliced from 7 exons. NCBI's taxonomy places the organism in Eukaryota, Metazoa, Chordata, Aves, Passeriformes, Passeridae. The record is from RefSeq and is a predicted model, not a curated record.